AGUAAUAUAUCGGAACGUACCCAAGAGUGGGGGACAACCAGUCGAAAGAUUGGCUAAUACCGCAUACGAUCUAAGGAUGAAAGUGGGGGACCUUCGGGCCUCACGCUCCUGGAGCGGCCGAUAGCUGAUUAGCUAGUUGGUGGGGUAAAGGCCUACCAAGGCGAUGAUCAGUAGCUGGUCUGAGAGGACGAUCAGCCACACUGGGACUGAGACACGGCCCAG
RNAcentral lists this ribosomal RNA (222 nucleotides) under uncultured bacterium. RNAcentral describes it as "partial 16S ribosomal RNA". It matches the Rfam family "Bacterial small subunit ribosomal RNA", at positions 109 to 334 of the family's 1533-position model. The record is from RNAcentral.